AGGGAAAGAGGGAGGUAGGCCUAACACAUGCAAGUCGAACGGCAGCACAGUACUUGCUUGCUCUUACGGUGGGGGAGGGGCGGAUGGGUGGGGGGUACAUCGGACUCUACUUUGUCGUGGGCUUGGACGAAUGGAAAUAUUCGCGGAUAGGGCAUACGACCUGCGGGGGGAAUCAGAGGAUCUUUGGAUCUUGCGCGAGUGAAUGAGCUGAUGUCGGAUUAGCUAGUUGGCGGGGUAAAGGCCCACCGAGGCGACGAUGCGUAGCUGGUCUGAGAGGAUGAUCCGCCACACUAGAACUGAGACACGGACCAGACUCCUACGGGAGGCAGCAGUGGGGCAUGUUGGAGAAUGGGCGCAAGCCUGAUCCAGCCAUACCGCGUGGGUGAAGAAGGCCUUGGGGUUGUAGAACCCUUUUGUUGGGAAAGAAACGCAGCAGGUUAAUACCGCGCUGUUCUGACGGUACCUAAAGAAUAAGCACCGGCUAACUUCGUG
This 492-nucleotide ribosomal RNA is filed under the name uncultured bacterium. RNAcentral describes it as "partial 16S ribosomal RNA". It matches the Rfam family "Bacterial small subunit ribosomal RNA", at positions 38 to 507 of the family's 1533-position model. The record is from RNAcentral.